ACACGGGAAAGGAGGUGGUCCGAAGAAUGAUUUCUUUUGGGACGCGUGAGGUGGCUGCCCGCUAGCAGCCCAUCAGCAAGACCCGGGGCGGAGUCGUCCUGGGACGGCUGCUGGUGAAUCCAUCGCAGUCACCCGACCCGCAGGCGAUCCGGUCAUCACGUCCACCGGAGCCGGGCCCACCUGGGCUCGACGCCUGCGGGUCGCUGCGU
Molecule: small RNA, 209 nt
Filed under: Nocardioides sp. Root1257
Lineage: Bacteria; Bacillati; Actinomycetota; Actinomycetes; Propionibacteriales; Nocardioidaceae
Description: Actinobacteria sRNA Ms_IGR-5
Rfam family: Actinobacteria sRNA Ms_IGR-5
Source: Rfam by way of RNAcentral